CCGGGCCUCUGAGGACGCUCUGGCGGCUGGUCCGGCGGCAGAGUUUGGGGGACUAAGCAGGAUUCUGCCUUUGCACGUUAUGUUCCUGUGGCUGAGGACUGCCUAAUGUUCACAUGAAUGCUUCGUGCCAAGCUAUACCCUUAGUUAAGGCUUCUCGUGCAUCACUGCCUGCCUGCCACUCUGGAUUUGAAACUCCAUAAGAGCAGCCAAUAUAUCACUUAUUCUGGGGAAAGGCAGCUGCCAUGUCAUGAGGGCACUCAAGCAGCUUCAUAGAGAGGUUCACGUGGCGAGGAACUGAGGCCUCCUGCAAUAGUCCGCAUUAACUUGCCAGCCAUGUGAAUGAGACAUCUUAGGAUUGGUCCCCUAUCCCCAGUCAAGCCUGCAGACCUGGCUGACAUCUUGACUGCAAACUCAUGAUAUACAUUGAGACAGAACAGCCCAGUGCUGUCGAAUCAAUUCUGACUUCUAGUGACCCUGAUUACAGAAGAGUGGAACGCCGCCCUGGUCUUUUUGUGCCAUCCUCUCAUCUUCCAGCAUUCUAUCAGACAGUGCUCCAGUACUAUUCACAGGGUUUUCAUGGCCAAUUUUUUUAGAAGUGGGUGGCCAGGUCCUUCUUCCUGGUCUUAGUCUGGAAGCUCUGCUGAAACCUGUCCACCAUGGGUGACCCUGCUGGUAUCUGAAAUACCAGUAGCGUAGCUUUCAGCAUCAUAGCAACACGCAGCCACCACAGUAUGCCAACCAACAGAGGGAGUGUGGUUCCUGACCAGAAAAUGAACCCAGGCCAUGGCGGUGGGAGCGUUGAAUCUUAACCAUUAAACUACCAUUUGCUUACCUACAUAGGAUAUAAAAUAGAUGGGGCUAUAAGAAUUGGUUUCACAUAGUUGGAAAUAUAAGUGUAAUUUUUAAGCCUUUAAUAAUAAGCAGAGCAACAAUAGCAUGAACAAUGACUUCUGGAAUAGUUUUCUGUGACAUAGGGUCUAUUCUCAUACCACUAACAGCCUUAAUGAAGAUCUUCAAGUAACAACUCUCAUCACCAGGGAAUUGGCCUAUAAUACUAGUCAAUUGUGGGAAUGUCUAUAGUUGGAAAAAUAGGACAAAGUUUCCUCUAAUUCCCCUGAUUUAGAAUUCUGGAACAUACAUGUGGAAAAAAAACAUUCAAGAACAAGAAGAGAGGUAUACAUUCUUUACACUUUUCACAUUUCAUCGCUUCAUUAGGGAUACCUGUCUGUCACUCCAAUUUAUGAAGUGUCCACUUUGGAGGAACUGAGUUAAGAAGUGAAAGAUAUCUUUUGAGUCCUUGUCAAGAGAGCUGAAAAGGAAAAGCAAAUGUGUUAGUCAAUUUGCCUGUUUGUCAGCCUCUUCUCUUCUCCCACAAUCCCUGCGGAGUGAGCAUUAGGUCACAUGACAGCCCCACCCCACACAUGUAGCCCACAGCUGAUUGGAUCAGUUGUAGGCACCUAACUCAAGCUGAGCCAAUCAGAUUCUGUCUUCCAAGAAUUUGGAAUUGGGAUUUAGAAAUUCUAGUCAGCAACUUUGGAACAUUUAGGGAGAUCACAUAAAGCUGACCCUGGAGAGGCCGUGUUUGGGCUUGUAUUAGUGAAACACAGAAAUCUGCUCCAUAGAGGAAGAAAGUAAUGAUUCAGGCACAUAGAAAGAUGAAGAGAUGAGAGUCCCUGUGACCCUGCAGAGUGAGAAUAGAGAAAAUGAAGUCAACAGCCUUGGAUCUUGAUGGCAUUCUGUUUCCUUGUUCCAGUCUCUCGUAAAAACUGCUGUUGAGUUUUUGAAAUAGUGCUUUAUCCUUUAAAUAAAUUCCCCAUUGUUACUUA
This is a long non-coding RNA of Diceros bicornis minor, 1826 nucleotides long. RefSeq lists it as uncharacterized. The record is from RefSeq and is a predicted model, not a curated record. NCBI's taxonomy places the organism in Eukaryota, Metazoa, Chordata, Mammalia, Perissodactyla, Rhinocerotidae. The transcript has 4 exons.